AUGACUCUCAUCCAUUUCCUUCACUCGACUGGAAAAUUUGGUACAGCCAUUCAACUUUGUAUUUACUCCUCCUCUGUGUCUUUUUCUCAAAAAAGAGAUGAGUGGUCUUCAUCCCAAACAGAUACAUAAAACUGGACUUGGGGCUUGUAAAUACAAACAUAUGGUGAUAUAAAUGUCACCUCCAGCAGAAGAAUCUGAAACUUGGUGAAAGAUUACCAAGAUUUUUGUCUGCCUGAAACCCACUAGUCAUCCAGUGAAGACAACACCAAUAACCAAAGGCUGCAAACUGACAUCCUCCAGCAUCAAAGACUGUGCUGAUGAAUACCCUGAAAUUUGGUGCAGCCACUUACAAAUGUCCCACGGGCGUAUAUUUGAAUAAAAGCAAAGUCCGGACAGAAGAAACACUCCAUUUGUCCUGGGAGCCAUUCCCGUUGCUAUCUAUGGGCCCUUCCGGAAAGUUCAUGCUAGAAAGAGUUUUGAUUUCUUCCCUGCAAAUCUUGGCACGGUCUGUGACGAGCGUGGUGAAAGGUUUCACCAGGACAUCGUGGUCAUAGAGAAACGGUACCAGGCAACUGGAAUCCAUCAAUGCUGGCUGAUUAGUGUUGGACACUUAAAUGAGAAGCCUCAGAAUUGAGUACAAACAAAAAUCAUCAAUGAAACAUUUUUAUCUUAAUUGAACUAUUGCAAAGUGUCAGCACCAUUAUGCAAUUAAAUGCAUUAUAUUCAAUAAAAGUUAAUUUGCUAUUUCUCUGAAUUCCUAUAUUAUAUUAGUAAUCUGAAAUUAUAUUUGUGUUCAGCAUCAAGGAGUCUAAAUUCUUAGGAAGCAACACUUCCAUAAAAAUUUGUUGUGCAAUGUAAUUGAAGAAACAAGUGGAAACAAAGAUGGUGUGCAUAAACUUCUCAGAUCAAUGUCCAGUCCACUUAAACAUGAGACUCAUUUGUUUAGGCUAGUAAAGGCUAUGUUAUGGGAAAAUUGGACUAGCAGUUGCUGACAAUUUCAUUCCCAUUUGAAAAUAUAUAUUCCAUUUAUAUUUUUAUCUAAGUAAUCUUCUAGAAAUUUACAGAAUGAUUCUGAUCGCUUGGUAAGAUAGGUAUAACAAAGACUAAUGGAAAUUAAUCCAGAUAAAUGAGAAAUAAUUCUCUUUUCAAGGACAAAUAAAGGUAGAAAGAUGAACCCCUAAGGAAAAGAGGGUGUACAAGGAUCCCCAAAAAUGGAAGUUUAAGUAUAUAAAGGGAUGAAGAACAAUGCCUGCUUUAAUUAGCUUGGACAUAGAAUACAAGAUGAGAGGUUAUGCUUUAUUUGUCUUUAUUGUGCGGGAGAGAAUUACACAGCUUGUUCUAGUUUGAAAAAAAUCUAGCACUUUAGGUGGAGUCUGUGGUGUGGAGGAGGAUGAAAAAAAUAUAUUGCAAAAAAGAUGCUGUGUUGCUGAAAGAAGCAUGCUUUCCAUUCCACAAAAGUAGAUUGAAUUAUUCCAUUGUUGAUAUCAUCUAUCAGCUGAGCUUUGAGCUGAGUUUGCUUUCUGUCCAGCUCUUAUUAGUGUGUUAAAAUUUCUCAGUCUACAAAAUGUGCUUUUAUUGCAUAUUGGUAGCUUUUAA
This is a long non-coding RNA of Hypanus sabinus (Atlantic stingray), 1596 nucleotides long. RefSeq lists it as uncharacterized. The transcript has 3 exons. The record is from RefSeq and is a predicted model, not a curated record. Lineage: Eukaryota; Metazoa; Chordata; Chondrichthyes; Myliobatiformes; Dasyatidae.